CGAGAUACAAGGGCGACGAUUAGAAGUUGGCCGAUUGGUGCUACGGUCAAGGAUCGGUUGGUUGGUGCUACAGUCAAGGAUCGGUUGAUUGGUGCUACAGUCGAGGAUCGGCCGAUUGAUGCUACAGUCGAGGAUCGGCCGAUUGACCCUUGGAGUUCCGCCUCGCCCGACCCCUGAGGUUUGGGAUCGGGCGCGCCCGACCCUCCAAAGGAGGAUCUCCGCCUCGCCCGACCUUAGUUUCCAGGGUCGGAGUAAGUCUGAGCCCUCAACAUGUGGGUCCUGAUCGGUUACCCCUUGCCGAUGAGGUGAUCGGCCGAUUAGGAGGUUGGAAUAGUUGGGCCGGUGUGGGCUUAAAAAGGAUUAUGAAGAUGAAGAGGGAAUCAGCCCAUGAAGCGCGUGAUAAUCGACCUAGUACGAAUCGUACUUGUAAAUAUUCAUUUUCUGUUUAAAUUUAGGGAUAGAGUUCUAGUCGGAUAAGAAGUCGUUUGCAACAGGCUAUAAAUAGCCACCCUUGUAGAUCUGUAAUCAUCAUUAACUCAAUUCAAC
This 546-nucleotide long non-coding RNA is filed under the name Setaria viridis. RNAcentral describes it as "long non-coding RNA (SVIR_LNC007683)". Lineage: Eukaryota; Viridiplantae; Streptophyta; Magnoliopsida; Poales; Poaceae. The record is from RNAcentral.